Molecule: transfer RNA, 72 nt
Filed under: Neurospora crassa
Lineage: Eukaryota; Fungi; Ascomycota; Sordariomycetes; Sordariales; Sordariaceae
Also listed under: 1 other name
Description: tRNA-Pro (AGG) (tRNA-Pro-AGG-2-1)
Rfam family: tRNA
About the family: Transfer RNA (tRNA) molecules are approximately 80 nucleotides in length. Their secondary structure includes four short double-helical elements and three loops (D, anti-codon, and T loops).
Source: RNAcentral
GGUCCGCUGGCUUAAUGGCAGAGUGUCUGACUAGGUAUCAGGAGGUUUCAGGUUGGACCCCUGGGAGAAUCG